UACGUAGGGUGCAAGCGUUGUCCGGAAUUAUUGGGCGUAAAGAGCUCGUAGGCGGUCUGUCGCGUCGGCUGUGAAAUCCCGAGGCUCAACCUCGGGUCUGCAGUCGAUACGGGCAAACUGGAGUGUUGCAGGGGAGACUGGAAUUCCUGGUGUAGCGGUGAAAUGCGCAGAUAUCAGGAGGAACACCGGUGGCGAAGGCGGUUCUCUGGGAAUGUUCUGACGCUGAGGAGCGAAAGUGUGGGGAGCGAACAGG
This 253-nucleotide ribosomal RNA is filed under the name uncultured bacterium. Its description in RNAcentral is "partial 16S ribosomal RNA". It matches the Rfam family "Bacterial small subunit ribosomal RNA", at positions 524 to 776 of the family's 1533-position model. The record is from RNAcentral.